Molecule: long non-coding RNA, 1169 nt
Organism: Athalia rosae (coleseed sawfly)
Lineage: Eukaryota; Metazoa; Arthropoda; Insecta; Hymenoptera; Athaliidae
Exons: 4
Source: RefSeq, a predicted model, not a curated record
UGGUGGUUGUCCCAGGUCAGUGUGAUCGAUAAACGGAAAAAGGAAAGAAAAAGGAAAAAAAAAAAAAAAUAUAUAAUACAGAAAGAACGCAACAAAAAAAUUUCUUCUUCCUGCGCAAUAUUGUUGUAUGCACGUAUGGUGCAACGAAGUACGUACACCGAUAACGCGUACGCAUGUACGUAGAAUACACACCGAAGCCAGGGGGAUAAUUUCUGUUGUUGUUGUUGUUUUAGUUUUUGCUUUUAUUAAUAUGGGGUCUGCUACGUCGGUGAUGUUAUGGUGGUGCAGCUGUGCAUUUCAUGGCUGCCAUGCUGUCGCUUGCAUCGAUUCAAACCUGGGCUUAUAAGAGGCUUAUAUUACCUACGUGAGCGUACAUAUACGCAUGUAUGUCCCCCCCCGUGCAUGCACCUAUAUGUACAUGCACACCAAUGUACACACGUGUUGUAUCCUGCCGGACAACGUAAAGGAAAUUUCUGGGGGAGAGAACGAAAUUUGGAUGUGGGAAAAUCACAACGCCACAGUUUCCGUAGGAUGGGAGGAGCGUUAAAAUCAUCUCGUUGCAGUAUAUUUGAGAGGAGAUACGAUCGGUGGUAUAUACGGCGGGAUUUCAAGGUCGCAGACUGCUGCACCAAGAAAAGAGAAACGCGUAUCUGACGAAUGCAGAAACUAUAGGAAAGAUGGAGACGGAAGAAUAGAAAAAAGACCAAAAAAACGAUAUGGCGGACGAAAAGGUGACCCAUACUUUUGCCCGAACUCGUAGCUACGGAUAUUCGGCACCCUCGUCGAGGAGAGAUUCGUCCCAACGCUAGCAUCGGUCUACGUGUAAGAGGCAUCAGGAGUUAGCAUUGCAGUAAUAUACAUAGUAUAGAGUAAAGAGGAGAGAAGCAGAAGCGUAUAUACGCGACUUGCCGCCGCCGGCAACGAUCCUGACCAAAAAGUCGGGGAGUCACCCUCGCCUCCUUGUCUGGAACUCCGUCUGGCUACGUCUGGCUCUGUUCGGCCAGGGCGACAUCGUCAGGGUGGCAUGAUGCGGCUUGGGGGCUGGCGGGAGGGACAGAGGGGACAUGGAGGGACGGGGGAGGGGGGAGGGGGGGGGGAGGGAGAUUUCAAGGGGGAGACACGAGACUACCGCGACUCCGUCCGUACUCGUGACGUUACGUCUAGACGCC